AUGAGAACUCAUAUCCGACUUUCCCCUUCGGCAACAAAUAUGUUUUUUGAUCUUCCAUUAGUUCUUUACCAUAUCAAAAAUUCCCUUGGUCGCCAUGGCAUUAGGAGUCGGCUGACCUACGCCGAUAUGGAUGUGGAUCCGGUGAGAACUCAUAUCCGACUUCCCCCUUCGGCAAUAGAUAAGGAUGUGGAUCCGGUGAGAACUCGUAUCCGAUUUUCCCCUUCGGUAACAGAUCUGGAUGUGGAUCCGGUGAGAACUCGUAUCCGACUUUCCCCUUCGGCACCAGCGCGGCGCAUGGAUCAGCGGGAGGGCAGCAGGAAGCGUGCGCGGGGAGAGGAGGAGGAGGGGGACUCGCCGCCAGCGAAGAUGUCGGCUCUGGCGGCGGCGGCGGCGGCUGAUGCGCAGGCGGAAGCGGCAUUCCAUGAGGCGGCGCCGGCGGUGGUGGAGGGCGGGGAUGGGGAUGGGGAUGCGUGGAAGCCGCCGCCGGGGGUGUUCGACUUCCCGUGGCUGAGUUGCCACGGCGGCCUGGACGCCCCCGUCACCAGCCCCCUGGUGGAGCUCCGGGAGGUGUUCUUCCGUUCGGCUGUGGACGGGCACGUGGCGGCGGUGGGCGUGCCCGGCGACCGCUUCAUCGCGCCGCCGAGCAACAUGAUGCUGUUCGUCGUCCUGGAGGAGUGGGUCGUCACCGCCGGCGACGACGAGGUGGACCCCAUGUGGCGCGCCGUGCUCGAGGGGGCCAAUCCCGCCGCAUGA
This 753-nucleotide ribosomal RNA is filed under the name Triticum aestivum (bread wheat). RNAcentral's name for it is "partial small subunit ribosomal RNA". The record is from RNAcentral. Lineage: Eukaryota; Viridiplantae; Streptophyta; Magnoliopsida; Poales; Poaceae.